GUGCACCAGGCGCGAAUUUUUCACAAUGGGGGAAACCCUGAUGGAGCGACGCCGCGUGGAGGAUGAAGGCCUUUUGGUCGUAAACUCCUGUCAAACGGGAACAAGAAAGUGAUAGUACCGUUAGAGGAAGAGGCGGCUAACUCUGUGCCAGCAGCCGCGGUAAUACAGAGGCCUCAAGCGUUGUUCGGAUUCAUUGGGCGUAAAGGGUGCGUAGGUGGCUUGUUAAGUUGAAGGUGAAAUCUCGGGGCUCAACUCCGAAACUGCCUUCAAUACUGGCGAGCUCGAGGAUUGUAGAGGAGAAUGGAAUUCACGGUGUAGCAGUGAAAUGCGUAGAUAUCGUGAGGAAGACCAGUGGCGAAGGCGAUUCUCUGGGCAAUUCCUGACACUGAGGCACGAGGGCCAGGGGAGCAAACGGGAUUAGAUACCCGCGUAGU
This 434-nucleotide ribosomal RNA is filed under the name uncultured organism. RNAcentral describes it as "bacterial SSU rRNA". It matches the Rfam family "Bacterial small subunit ribosomal RNA", at positions 346 to 794 of the family's 1533-position model. The record is from RNAcentral.